This is a long non-coding RNA of Rhipicephalus sanguineus (brown dog tick), 1965 nucleotides long. RefSeq lists it as uncharacterized. The transcript is spliced from 3 exons. The record is from RefSeq and is a predicted model, not a curated record. Lineage: Eukaryota; Metazoa; Arthropoda; Arachnida; Ixodida; Ixodidae.
CUGGUUGACCUUGGGGACGCCUGCGCGAUGUAUGUGUCGCAGGGAGGGCAACACUCGCCCUUUUGGGCGUAGGGGACCGGAGGGGGGAGGUGAGGUAGGAGGGAAGGACUGAGAGCAUGGCUCUUUCCCGGAGAGGGGACGGGUCGCGACCGAGGAGAGAGAGAAAGUGGCCCGCUCUUGGCAUUCCGCCGCUCAGAAGCGAUCGUAAACCGAAGGAAGAAUAAUUUGCAAGAUUUUUUGUAUCCGAGUUGUGAUUCUGUAAAUAAACUUCUUAGCGUCGUCGAAAGUUAUUGAAAUCGACUACAGCUGUAUACUGCACGAGAUCAUCGCCUGAAGCUACUUGUACGAUGGCUUAUCACUUCGGAAAUAGAACUGCUUUAAACAUAACGUUCAUCGCCUAGCCUUCUCAUGAUGCAGGUACAAAUGAAGUAACUUUUCAGGAAACUCAGUAAUAAUUGGCAUGUAGUACGCGGGGAGGAAGAUAUAAAAACACGCUGCGGCUGCACAUGCGCGCGCGGUGCUCUUCAGUGGCGUGUGUUUGUGGCUUUCUCCGCGACUACUGCACCGCGCUUGUUUUUGUUAGAAGUUAGUUGCACUAUGGUUAGGAUUUUAAUCUGACUGUGCAAGGUCGUUGCUACGAGAAACGAACUUGCGUUGGGUGAACCCACUUGAAGAUAAUACAAGUCAGUGAAUUACGUUAUAUUCUGGUACUAACACCAUGUGUACAGUAAUUUGAAAGAGCACAAGAUGUAUAUAAUUAUCAAUUCUAGACAAAUAUGCCAGUUGCGUUUGGCAAGGUGCCCUUUGUUGCUAUAUUUGUGUUUGAGAAAAAUGAUGUGAAAUAUUUUUCCCGUCGUUAUAUUGUUUCCUGAAGCAUACUGGUUUAUAUUAACAGAAGUUGUUGUAAUGGUUAAGCAGCACUGUUCCAAGAGCUUUUUAUCCACUGUGCUGGGGUGGCAAAAGCACACCUCAAUUAUGUGCUUAUCUAAAGUUCAUGUUUCUUUUGUGAGCUUUUCUUAAGGCAGCAUGAAACUGAAAAAGCGCUCUUAUUUGCAGGUUGUGCGACUAAGACGUAGCAUUCAUUGUGAGAGUGCUACUUUAAUUUUAUGAAGUAAUUAUUAUGGGAAACAAAUCUAAAUUCUCAUAUGUAACUAUGUGUGCAGAAGUUUAGAGAAGGCUGACAAAAGUGGUUAACGGUUUUUUUUUUUAUGGCUUGCAGCACUACAAAUUCAAACCGAUAGUCCAGGCAUUGAUUGGCUUUAACACGACUAGAAUUACUUUCCUAAACGGCUCAAAUUCAUCAUAUAAUACAAUAUGUAAAGCUCGGCAUUAUGGAGUGUGCAUAUGGGCCACACAUACUCUUAUUUUAUCAAUUUAUGCAUUUUAUAUUGUGUAGCAGAGCUGAUGUAAUUUUCGUCAUUUAAAUGACCUAUAUCGUAAUCUGCGUUCUCCAACCACAUAGUGUUUACUAAGUACAUAAGUUUCUGAAAGUUCGGCUUGCAAUGGCACCAUUACAGUUGUCUGCCAUGAGCCGUUGCUCAGGUUAUACUUGUUCUUAUAGCGCAAUCUGAGUCCAUCAUUCAAGGCCCUUGCUGGUAUAUAAACAUAGACUUGCCUGAAUACAUUGUAUGUAUUGUGUGUGAGCUGUAAGGUCUGUGUGGUGCGCCAACUCAUGAAUGUUUUCUGGUAUCCUUAACAUAUGUACCCGGUGAUCUCACCUGUUCGUGGAACUGAAGCAGACGACAGCUUGCAGACGAAGAUGGGAGCGUUCUACCUGUGAGCCUGGUCGAGCUUAUAUUUUAUGGAUACACAUGCAUGGAUACACAUACAUGGAUUCCCUACAAGGACCCUGCGCAUCAAAAGCAAUCUGUCAUCAAUGUUAAGUAGACAGAUUAAACGAAACGAAGAUAUGACAGGUGUACACCAUAUUUUUCUUUCAUUUAACCUCUGCAUGUUUCCCAGUCA